UUGGAGGGCAAGUCUGGUGCCAGCAGCCGCGGUAAUUCCAGCUCCAAUAGCGUAUAUUAAAGUUGUUGCAGUUAAAAAGCUCGUAGUUGAAUUUCGGGAUCAGCAAGUUGGUCGUGCCUCUGGUACGUACUGGCUUUACUGGUUCCUCCUUCUUGAAGAACUGUAAUGUCAUUAAUUUGGUGUUGCAGGGAAACAGGACUGUUACUUUGAAAAAAUUAGAGUGUUUAAAGCAAGCUAACGCUUGAAUACAUUAGCAUGGAAUAAUGAAAUAGGACGUUUGAUCCUAUUUUGUUGGUUUCUAGGAUUGACGUAAUGAUUAAUAGGGAUAGUUGGGGGCAUUAGUAUUCAAUUGUCAGAGGUGAAAUUCUUGGAUUUAUUGAAGACUAACUACUGCGAAAGCAUUUGCCAAGGAUGUUCUCAUUAAUCAAGAACGAAAGUUAGGGGAUCGAAGACGAUCAGAUACCGUCGUAGUCUUAACCAUAAACUAUGCCGACUAGGGAUCGGAUGAUGUUAAUUUUUUAAUGACUCAUUCGGCGCCUUACGGGAAAC
This 549-nucleotide ribosomal RNA is filed under the name uncultured Glomeromycotina. RNAcentral describes it as "SSU rRNA". It matches the Rfam family "Eukaryotic small subunit ribosomal RNA", at positions 548 to 1098 of the family's 1831-position model. The record is from RNAcentral. Lineage: Eukaryota; Fungi; Glomeromycota.